This 28-nucleotide non-coding RNA is filed under the name Homo sapiens (human). Lineage: Eukaryota; Metazoa; Chordata; Mammalia; Primates; Hominidae. The record is from RNAcentral.
UCACAGCGUCCCUAAGGAAGAUUUUUGC